Molecule: long non-coding RNA, 190 nt
Filed under: Apteryx rowi (Okarito brown kiwi)
Lineage: Eukaryota; Metazoa; Chordata; Aves; Apterygiformes; Apterygidae
Description: lncRNA (ENSARWG00000009187.1)
Source: RNAcentral
AAGGGGCCCAGGUGUCCGGGAAAAAGGGCCCAGGCGUCCGGGGAAAAGGGGCCCAGGCGUCCGGGAAAAGGGGCCCAGGCGUCCGGGGAAGGGGCCCAGGCGUCCGGGAAGGAAGGGGCCCAGGCGUCCGGGAAAAGGGGCCCAGGCAUCCGGGAAAAGGGGCCCAGGCAUCCGGGAAAAGGGGCCCAGG